This 70-nucleotide transfer RNA is filed under the name Ecnomus sp. XG-2021. Its description in RNAcentral is "tRNA-Gly". The record is from RNAcentral. Lineage: Eukaryota; Metazoa; Arthropoda; Insecta; Trichoptera; Ecnomidae.
AUUUAUAUAAUAUAUUAGUAUAUUUAACUUCCAAUUAAAAUGAUUAAUUAUAAAAUAAUUAAUAUAAAUA